AUUGAACGCUGGCGGCAUGCUUUACACAUGCAAGUCGAACGGCAGCGCGGGCUUCGGCCUGGCGGCGAGUGGCGAACGGGUGAGUAAUACAUCGGAACGUGCCCAGUAGUGGGGGAUAGCUCGGCGAAAGCCGGAUUAAUACCGCAUACGACCUGAGGGUGAAAGCGGGGGAUCUUCGGACCUCGCGCUAUUGGAGCGGCCGAUGGCAGAUUAGCUAGUUGGUGGGGUAAAGGCCUACCAAGGCGACGAUCUGUAGCUGGUCUGAGAGGACUACCAGCCACACUGGGACUGAGACACGGCCCAGACUCCUACGGGAGGCAGCAGUGGGGAAUUUUGGACAAUGGGCGAAAGCCUGAUCCAGCAAUGCCGCGUGUGUGAUGAAGGCCUUCGGGUUGUAAAGCACUUUUGGCGGGAACGAAAAGGACUGUGCCAAUACCACGGUUCGAUGACGGUACCCGCAGAAUAAGCACCGGCUAACUACGUG
This 484-nucleotide ribosomal RNA is filed under the name uncultured bacterium. RNAcentral describes it as "partial 16S ribosomal RNA". It matches the Rfam family "Bacterial small subunit ribosomal RNA", at positions 29 to 507 of the family's 1533-position model. The record is from RNAcentral.